GGAGUUUGUAUUUAGACAGUGUCCAGGUCCUGGGGCCCUGAUCUAGGAUGGGGGAGCUGGGAGGAUGGGACACUGGUGUUGUGGAGACUGAGGUCUGAUUUCAGGCUCAGGAGGGAAAAAUGGGUUUACUCUGCUUUCUGGCCAAUUUCUUUUCCUCACACUGCUGUUUUUCUCUUUAGGUGUAAGGAAAACAUUGACCCGACUGCCGCAGGGUCCAGACCAGUUUCAAGUCCUCUCCCUGGGAUCUUCUCCUUGCCUGGGGUCCUCUGCCUCAUCCUGGGGUCCCUUCUCUUCCUGGUCCUCAUCAUCCUGGUGACUCAGGUGUUCAGAUGGAUAGCAGAGCACAGAGGUGGGCUGCAGGGGGAACUGGGGACCAGGGAAAGUGUGUGGAGGCAGGAGAUGGGGCAGGUGUGAGGAGGGGAACCUGGGCCAGGUCUCUGUUGUGAGUCUGAAGAACUCCAUGUGCUCCAUGCUGAGCUCUAAGGGGUGAGUAGACAGAGGUUCUUAGGACUGGGGCGUGAACUCUCAUAAGUCAUGACCUCUCCUAUGAGACCAGACAGAGUCAGGGCUGAGCUGUGAAUUCAGGUCAGACAGGGGAGAGGGUGCUGACAUGGUGCAUGGGGUGGAAGAUGAUGCCGAGGUCCAGGCAGCCUCCGUGUGAACAUCAGGGAGAUAAAGGGUGGGCCUGCUGGACCGAAGUGUCUGGGGAAGCACCUCUGACCUGCUGGGGGAUCUCUCAGCCUUAUCCAGCUAUGAAGAUGCUCUUGCUGAAGCCGUGUAUGAUGAGCUUGAUCAUCUUGUGACUCAGAAGGAGGGUCUUCUUGGCAGCCCAGGUGGGUGUCUCUGUCUGCCCUCCUGGGACCUCUAGUUGUCACACCCACUGGGUGUGCAUAUUUUCUCAGCAUCUGCAGACCCCACACGUUCCCCAGGCUCACAGAGGUAGCUCUCUAAAGUGGCAGGAUGGCCUCUUACAGCCCUGUGAACCUCCAGCCUCUGUCUACACUGCAAGAGCCAGACCCAUCCCUUCUCAGCCUUAACACCGGUCCUGUGGGUGUGGGAGGAUCAUUCUGUGUGUUGUGUGAUGUUUUUCUCCACUUUAGGCUUCCUCUCAGAUGGUGAGGACAAUGACUCCAGGUCUGCUCCAGGUAAUAGAGGUGGACCUGCUUCAGCUGAGUGUUGGGAGGAGAGUUUCCCUCCUCAUAGAGAGGAGAUGUAGGGGGAACAAUCUUCCUUUAAUGGACCAGAGGGAUCCCUUGUGUCCAGAUUGGGUCUGUCCUUAU
RNAcentral lists this long non-coding RNA (1280 nucleotides) under Bos indicus x Bos taurus (hybrid cattle). RNAcentral describes it as "lncRNA (ENSBIXG00000014703.1)". Lineage: Eukaryota; Metazoa; Chordata; Mammalia; Artiodactyla; Bovidae. The record is from RNAcentral.